UUGGAGGGUCCCGUGGGAGUGAAACUGUCCUCGCUGCGACACAGCAAGAAGCUUGAAGGUCGAUUUCAGGUUUUGGACUUUACGAUGGUGUGGAAGCAUUAAGCUCUCAGCAGAAGCCACACUCUGAAUUCCAAUCUUUUCCUGGGCUGGUGAUGGAUGCGCAGCACGGUGCCCUCCUGCAGUACUGAGCCGUGGCAGGGAGCAGCAGUCCCAGCCAGCUGUGCCACCGCGAGGGGAAGUGGCCGGCAUGGAUCUUUUCUCCCCUAUAUCUGAGGUCUGAGUCCUUUGUCAGGACACACAGUGUGAUUUCUUGCCUGGCACUCCAUUCCUUGCUUGUCCAUUUUCAAGAGCAGAACAUUUUCACGUUGACGGAAGCCCGAUGUCUUUCUUCUAUGGUAUGUGCUCUGCAUCCAAAGCAGCCUUCGC
Long non-coding RNA from Symphalangus syndactylus (siamang), 426 nucleotides. RefSeq lists it as uncharacterized. NCBI's taxonomy places the organism in Eukaryota, Metazoa, Chordata, Mammalia, Primates, Hylobatidae. The record is from RefSeq and is a predicted model, not a curated record.